GACGAACGCUGGCGGCGUGCUUAACACAUGCAAGUCGAACGGAAAGGCCCUGCUUUUGUGGGGUGCUCGAGUGGCGAACGGGUGAGUAACACGUGAGUAACCUGCCCUUGACUUUGGGAUAACUUCAGGAAACUGGGGCUAAUACCGGAUAGGAGCUCCUGCUGCAUGGUGGGGGUUGGAAAGUUUCGGCGGUUGGGGAUGGACUCGCGGCUUAUCAGCUUGUUGGUGGGGUAGUGGCUUACCAAGGCUUUGACGGGUAGCCGGCCUGAGAGGGUGACCGGCCACAUUGGGACUGAGAUACGGCCCAGACUCCUACGGGAGGCAGCAGUGGGGAAUAUUGCACAAUGGGCGGAAGCCUGAUGCAGCAACGCCGCGUGCGGGAUGACGGCCUUCGGGUUGUAAACCGCUUUCGCCUGUGACGAAGCGUGAGUGACGGUAAUGGGUAAAGAAGCACCGGCUAACUACGUGCCAGCAGCCGCGGUGAUACGUAGGGUGCGAGCGUUGUCCGGAUUUAUUGGGCGUAAAGGGCUCGUAGGUGGUUGAUCGCGUCGGAAGUGUAAUCUUGGGGCUUAACCCUGAGCGUGCUUUCGAUACGGGUUGACUUGAGGAAGGUAGGGGAGAAUGGAAUUCCUGGUGGAGCGGUGGAAUGCGCAGAUAUCAGGAGGAACACCAGUGGCGAAGGCGGUUCUCUGGGCCUUUCCUGACGCUGAGGAGCGAAAGCGUGGGGAGCGAACAGGCUUAGACACCCUGGUAGUCCACGCUGUAAACGGUGGGUACUAGGUGUGGGGUCCAUUCCACGGGUUCCGUGCCGUAGCUAACGCUUUAAGUACCCCGCCUGGGGAGUACGGCCGCAAGGCUAAAACUCAAAGGAAUUGACGGGGCCCCGCACAAGCGGCGGAGCAUGCGGAUUAAUUCGAUGCAACGCGUAGAACCUUACCUGGGUUUGACAUGGAUCGGGAGUGCCCAGAGAUGGGUGUGCCUCUUUUGGGGUCGGUUCACAGGUGGUGCAUGGCUGUCGUCAGCUCGUGUCGUGAGAUGUUGGGUUAAGUCCCGCAACGAGCGCAACCCUUGUUCACUGUUGCCAGCACGUUAUGGUGGGGACUCAGUGGAGACCGCCGGGGUCAACUCGGAGGAAGGUGGGGAUGACGUCAAGUCAUCAUGCCCCUUAUGUCCAGGGCUUCACGCAUGCUACAAUGGCUGGUACAGAGAGUGGCGAGCCUGUGAGGGUGAGCGAAUCUCGGAAAGCCGGUCUCAGUUUGGAUUGGGGUCUGCAACUCGACCUCAUGAAGUCGGAGUCGCUAGUAAUCGCAGAUCAGCAACGCUGCGGUGAAUACGUUCCCGGG
RNAcentral lists this ribosomal RNA (1343 nucleotides) under uncultured bacterium. Its description in RNAcentral is "16S ribosomal RNA". It matches the Rfam family "Bacterial small subunit ribosomal RNA", at positions 28 to 1378 of the family's 1533-position model. The record is from RNAcentral.